Molecule: ribosomal RNA, 253 nt
Filed under: uncultured bacterium
Lineage: Bacteria
Description: partial 16S ribosomal RNA
Rfam family: Bacterial small subunit ribosomal RNA
Source: RNAcentral
UACGAAGGGGGCUAGCGUUGCUCGGAAUCACUGGGCGUAAAGGGUGCGUAGGCGGGUCUUUAAGUCAGGGGUGAAAUCCUGGAGCUCAACUUCGGAACUGCCAUUGAUACUGCUGGUCUUGAGUAUAGUUGAGGUAGGCGGAAUAUGUCAUGUAGUGGUGAAAUACUUAGAUAUGACAUAGAACACCGAUUGCGAAGGCAGCUUGCUAAGCUAUAACUGACACUGAUGCACGAAAGCGUGGGGAGCAAACAGG